Cercocebus atys (sooty mangabey) is the source of this 2209-nucleotide RNA transcript. It is a transcript of the gene named 40S ribosomal protein S2 pseudogene, with no coding region annotated. The transcript has a single exon. Lineage: Eukaryota; Metazoa; Chordata; Mammalia; Primates; Cercopithecidae. The record is from RefSeq and is a predicted model, not a curated record.
AAUUAUCCAGCCUCAGGUAUUCCUUACAACAAUGCAAAAUGGGCUAAUACACUGGUAUGGUUCAAUGGAAAUACAAUGUUAGCUACAAGUCCAAGAAAUAUAUCUAGUUUAAAAUUUUCUAGUAGCCACAUUCAGAGAAAAAAGAAGAAUAAGCUCAAAUUAGCUCUAAUAAUAUAUUUUGUUAAAAUACAUAUAUCUCAAAUGUUAUUAUUUCAACACGCAAUGAAUAUGAAAAUUACUUGUGAGAUCUUCCAGUCUUUUUUUAAUACCAAAUCUCAAAUCGGGUUUGCCACAUUUCAAGAGCUCAAUAGCCACGUGAGGGUAUUUCAAGAGUUCAAUAACCACAUGAGGCCAGAGGCUAUCAUAUGGGACAGUGUAGAGGCAGACCAUGGUUUUCUGAAGAAGCAACAGAAUUCUUACACUGGCCUGGAUGAAGAAAAAUUGUAAUUCAAUACUAUGUAUUCAAUUCCUGCUCAAAUCAUUAUGCUGAUAAUGAUUUGUAUGCAUGCACAUGUGUGGGUAUGCAAGUGUCACGGAAUGCAGCUAAGACAAUCUAUUAUUUAACAUUUUAUAAGUAAACUGUUAUCUCAACAGAUUUCCAAAGUUUAAAGUAUGAUUGGUUUAAUAAUUAGGCAUUGUUAUAGGACUUCACAUAAUGGUACAAUCCACUGUCAAAAAUAAUAUUUGAGUAGCUGUCCACUUGUAUAUUUCUCCACUGCAUAUUCAAAAUUAUCUAGGAGCAGUUCUUUAGCACAAUAAAUGCCAAAGGUAAAAUUUACAUGUUCUGAUAUAGACACAGAAGCAUUAUUUUAAAUUUCAGAUAGGAGAGUAACCUAUUACUAGUCUUUGUUAAGAAAUUAUUUGAAUAAUUUUUGUGAGUACCCACUAACAGUAUGCAAUGCUGCUAGGGUAAUCUUUAAGCCUUUGAGAACAAAGAAGGGGGAUAAAAAGUAAGGGCGAAAAUGGGAGAGCAAGGAAGGGAAUGAAUAAGAGGCAGAGACUAGGGGAAAAAAAGCACACAAUUUUUUGACAAACUACAUAUACAUUUGCAAUUUGAGAUAAAUUUAAGUAAUCAAAUGUAUGUAUUUGUAAUUUGAGAUUAAAAUUUGAUGACCAAAAUGACAUCAUCUGAGAGAAUUGUCAUAACAGAAUGAAAAAAUUGUUUAAACAUUAAUUGAUUAAAGUAGGUUAAAGUAUAAUAAAGAUUAGUGUAAAGUUUUAAUGUUUAAAAUGAGGUUGACUUCACCGAGAAAACACCAAAUGGCGGAUGACGCCGGGGCAGCGGGGGGGCCCGGAGGCCCUGGUGGUCCUGGGAUGGGGAACCGCGGUGGCUUCUGCGGAGGUUUUGGCAGUGGCAUCCUGGGCCGGGGUCGCGGCCGUGGACCGGGCCGGGGCCGGGGCCGGGCCGGGGCCGGGGCCGAGGCCGCGGAGCUCACGGAGGCAAGGGCGAGGAUAAGGAGUGGAUGCCCGUCACCAAGAGGGGCCGCUUGGUCAAGGGCAUGAAGAUCAAGUCCCUGGAGGAGAUCUACGUCUUCUCCCUGCCCAUUAAGGAAUCUGAGAUCAUUGACUUUUCCUUGGGGGCCUCUCUCAAAGACGAGGUUUUGAAGACUAUGCCGGUGCAGAAGCAGACCCGUGCUGGCCAGCGCACCAGGUUCAAGGCGUUUGUUGCUAUCAGGGACUACAAUGGCCACGUUGGCCUGGGUGUUAAGUGCUCCAAGGAGGUGACCACCGCCAUCCGUGGGGUCGUCAUCCUGGCCAAACUCUCCACUGUACCCGUGCGCAGAGGCUACUGGGGGAACAAGAUCGGCAAGCCCCACACCGUCCCUUGCAAGGUGACAGGCCACUGCGGCUCUGUGCUGGUGCGCCUCAUCCCUGCACCCAGGGGCACUGGCAUCAUCUCAGCGCCUGUGCCCAAGAAGCUACUCAUGAUGGCUGGCAUCCAUGACUGCUACACCUCAGCCCGGGGCUGCACUGCCACCCUGGGCAACUUCGCCAAGGCCACCUUUGAUGCCAUCUCUAAGACCUACAGCUACCUGACCUCUGACCUCUGGAAGGAAACUGUAUUUACCAAGUCUCCCUAUCAGGAAUUCACUGACCACCUUGUCAAGACCCACACCAGAGUCUCCAUGCAGCGGACCCAGGCUCCAGCUGUGGCUACAACAUACGGUUUUUAUACAAGAAAAAUAAAAUGAAUUAAGCCGGUUACUGU